GAUGAACGCUGGCGGCGUGCCUAAUACAUGCAAGUCGAGCGAACAGACGAGGAGCUUGCUCCUCUGACGUUAGCGGCGGACGGGUGAGUAACACGUGGAUAACCUACCUAUAAGACUGGGAUAACUUCGGGAAACCGGAGCUAAUACCGGAUAAUAUAUUGAACCGCAUGGUUCAAUAGUGAAAGACGGUUUUGCUGUCACUUAUAGAUGGAUCCGCGCCGCAUUAGCUAGUUGGUAAGGUAACGGCUUACCAAGGCAACGAUGCGUAGCCGACCUGAGAGGGUGAUCGGCCACACUGGAACUGAGACACGGUCCAGACUCCUACGGGAGGCAGCAGUAGGGAAUCUUCCGCAAUGGGCGAAAGCCGGACGGAGCAACGCCGCGUGAGUGAUGAAGGUCUUGGGAUCGUAAAACUCUGUUAUUAGGGAAGAACAAAUGUGUAAGUAACUAUGCACGUCUUGACGGUACCUAAUCAGAAAGCCACGGCUAACUACG
RNAcentral lists this ribosomal RNA (495 nucleotides) under uncultured bacterium. RNAcentral describes it as "partial 16S ribosomal RNA". It matches the Rfam family "Bacterial small subunit ribosomal RNA", at positions 28 to 505 of the family's 1533-position model. The record is from RNAcentral.